Molecule: ribosomal RNA, 619 nt
Filed under: uncultured bacterium
Lineage: Bacteria
Description: bacterial SSU rRNA
Rfam family: Bacterial small subunit ribosomal RNA
Source: RNAcentral
AUAGCCCGAUGAAAGUUGGAUUAAUACCGCAUAUAGCUAUAUAGUUGCAUGAUUAUGUAGUGAAAGAUUUAUUGGUAUAGGAGGAGUCUGCGGCACAUUAGCUAGUAGGUGAGGUAAAGGCUUACCUAGGCGACGAUGUGUAGCCGGUCUGAGAGGAUGAACGGCCACAAUGGAACUGAGACACGGUCCAUACUCCUACGGGAGGCAGCAGUGGGGAAUAUUGCACAAUGGGGGAAACCCUGAUGCAGCAACGCCGCGUGAGUGAAGAAGGUUUUCGGAUUGUAAAGCUCUGUUAGCAGGGAAGAGGAAGGACGGUACCUGCAGAGGAAGCCACGGCUAACUACGUGCCAGCAGCCGCGGUAAUACGUAGGUGGCAAGCGUUGUUCGGAAUAACUGGGCGUAAAGGAUGCGUAGGCGGUUAAACAAGUUAUAUGUUAAAUAUAUAGGCUUAACCUGUAGAAAGCGUAUAAAACUGUUUAACUAGAGUGCAGGAGAGGUAAGUGGAAUUCCUAGUGUAGCGGUGAAAUGCGUAGAGAUUAGGAAGAACACCAGUGGCGAAGGCGACUUACUGGACUGUAACUGACGCUGAGGCAUGAGAGCAUGGGGAGCAAACAGGAUU